UCCCCCUCCCUCAAAGACGCCCCACUCAGGAACUGGCGCGCCUGAGUUCGGAUCCCAGGACUCCCGGCCACCCCCAGCGCAGGGCCCCAGCGCACCGCGGGAAGCUCAGCCCCAGGGGCCGGGCGUGGGGGGCGGAGAACCCCCUCCCGGCCCUGCCUGGCGCAUUCCCGGGAGCUGCUGUCACCAGAGGGCGCGCCCCACCCCGCCUCCCGCCUCCACGCCCGCCCCGGACUAGGAACUGUGGCUGUGGGGCAGACCCGGGUCCAGAAAGUCUCCCUCCCGUGCGCCUGUGGUCCCCUCCCCUCCGACCUCAGUCUCCCCAUCCCGGCAACGGGGUCGUAGGGGUCUCCACCGCGGAGACCCCCUGCUUCCAGCUGGACCCCAGCUGCUUGGGUGUCCUGGCAAGAGCCGGGUUGGCCCUAGACUCCCCCUACCCUUUCCCCUCUGCACCCCCCUCCGCCUCCACCACGCAAGGGUAUAGCGGGCACCCUCUGCUCGCCUCCUCCCCUGCUCCUUUCUAUCGCCCAUGAUUCUGCGUUGGUGGGUUAAGGAGAUGGGGGCGCUAAGGGGGCAGUGGGUGGACUGCCCCUCUGCCCCGAGGCUUGACCAGGCUUGGCCCGAGUGCCCCCUGCUCCUCCCAGAGCCCACCACGGGGUGUCUAGCCUGGACCGCAGGGAAGGCUUUGCCAGCGCAGCUGUCUGCCCUUCAGCCUGGAGCAGCUCAGAGCAGGGCCACCCAGUGCCACUCAUUCCUCUGGCAUUUAUCAAGCACCCACCAUGUGCCAGAGCAGCUGUGAACAGGAUCCCACGUGGCAUUGAGCUGUUUCUCUCGUUAAGGUAAAAAGAUGCAAGCAGAUGAAAUAUAGGCUAUCCCUGCAAAAAUCUGGCUGUUUCUGAUGCCCACAUAGCCUGGUACGCAGCCAGAGUCAAUCAAUGUCCUUGAAUAGAGGCUGAGGGGGCAGCCAGCAGGAGAGGGGGUGCCAGGGAAGGUGUCCACCUGCAGGAGCUGCACCCACUUGGGACCCUGAGGACACCCACCCUGCAGGCAGGGUCCGGCACAGCUUGGGGAGGGUUUGGACUUGCCCAGGGCCACCAGGCAGGUUGGCACCUAUGGGGAAAUGGCUCCCAGUCUGGUGGGGCAGACGCCAGCCAACCUACAGAGAAAUGGCAUAAUUUCAGGUGGUGAGGGUACCCCAGAGGGACUCUCAGGGUAUGGUGGCCUUCUGGGCAAGGGGUGGCCCUCGCCCAGGUCCUAGGAGAUGAGUGGAGUGGCCAGGUGAAUGCUCAGGGGUGGGGAGCACCGCAGGCAGAGAAAAUGGCAUGUGCAAAGGCCCUGAGGUUGGGAUAAGCUUGGUAUGGGAUUUCUUGGCCAGAGAGGUCAGGGUGGCUGGGCUGAGGUGAGUGGGUGGGCAGCUGGGGGAACCAUGGGGGUGCACCAGUGGGCCUUUGUUUGGAUGUGAUCUGAUUUGAUUUUGGAAGGUGUCUUGCUGACAGGAGGACAUUGAACUUUCCACCCUGGGGCCUCAGAGAAUCCACUGAGUCCAGCUCCCAGCCACCCCUUGAUUCCGGGAGCCCCCAAGGACCCAAACAAUCUGCCCCACCCCACCUGCCAGAACUGCCCUUGAUGUUCCUGAUCCUGGGUCUUGGCUGGUCCUGAGCACCACGUCGGGGCCUAUGUCUUCAGCUCCGUCUCCCUGUCCGGAUCCCCCGCCAGUCAUCUUGAAGGGAAUGUCCCCCAGACUUACUCGGGAUGCCCCUCCCUGGCCCUGGCCACACCCCACUCUGGCUGUCCUGGAGUUCUAGUACCACAGGUCAAAGGGGACAGUUUGCAGUGGCUGAACCCAGCUGCGGUGUGGAUCACUUGCAGAACGCUUUCCAAGCUGGAUGUGCAAGAUAAUGUUCCUUGCAGAGGCCCUGGCCAAUGAGGGGCAGAUGCCAGGGGCUUGAUGCCCCCCUCAUCCUCCCCUUGGUCAGGCAUUUCUGAGGAAUCUUCUACCCAGUUCCUCAGGGGCCCACAGUGGUUACCAGGUCAUGCCCUGCCUUGUUCUCCCCAGCCCCUCACUCUUGCUCUGCCAAGCCUCUUGCUGCACUAAACCCUUGCUUCAGGCUCUGCUUUCAGGACAGGGAAGCUGCCCAGGAGAACAGUCUUUUACUGGCCUGGACACUGUGAGCGGGAGGAAGGGAGAAAAGGGGACAGGGCCUCAGAACUGAGCCCUGGGCAUCAGGAGAAGGAAGAGGAGCCUCAAAGGAGAACAGAAAAGAGUUGGCCUAAAGGUGGGGAAAACGCCUGCAGAGAGGCAUCACGGAGGAUGAGAGGACGGAUGGUACUUCUGGAAGGAGCUGACGCUGGUGCUGAGAGUGGGAGCAUCACGGACAAAGUUUGGUCCCAAGGGUGGGGGUGGAAGGUGGAAGCCAACUCCAGAGCCCCCCACACCAACCCUGGGCUGGUCCCCAGGCAGCACGCCGCUGCAGUCACGGGGCUUCUGAACCGUGGUGGCAGGGUCCCCUCCCACCUGCUCCACUCCAGGGUCCCCGUCCCCAGGGGCGCAUCAGGUUGGCAGAUGCCCAGGAGUUAUAGGCGUGCGGUGUCUGCAGCAUUUCAAGCCUGUGGGCCAGAGAGGGACCCAGAGCUGGCUGUCACGUCUGCCCACAUGCUCCCACUGUGGCACUUUCUGGAAGGAAGGGACCACACCACCGCCGACCCCAGGGAGGCCCCCUGGACUCUGUCUGCCCCUCACUGUCUCAGCAGCCGCCUCUCAGGUCAGCACAAGAACAGACUGGAGGGAAGGCAAGUUUGUGGCCAGAAGCAUGGGGGUGGAGGUGGGGGUGGCCAGGCAGGGGUGCCGGCCCAUGACCGCCUCUGCCUAGGGAACCCUGCGGGGGUCAGCAUAGGAGGCUCAGGCAGCCCCGCUGAGCCCAACACCACCUCGCUUCUUUGCAAUCUUUGCAAAAUGCCUCAGUAUCCCCAUCUGUAAAAUGAGGAUAUUGAUAACCCCCCACAAGGCUGUAAUUUUUGGGGAGGGCUGAAUCUAAUAUGUUUUCCAUUUUUUUUAAUCUUGGCAAAAUACACAUAGUGUAAAAUUCA
This is a long non-coding RNA of Manis javanica (Malayan pangolin), 3084 nucleotides long. RefSeq lists it as uncharacterized. The record is from RefSeq and is a predicted model, not a curated record. NCBI's taxonomy places the organism in Eukaryota, Metazoa, Chordata, Mammalia, Pholidota, Manidae.